This 1499-nucleotide unclassified non-coding RNA is filed under the name Bombus terrestris (buff-tailed bumblebee). RNAcentral's name for it is "misc RNA ENSBTSG00005024478.1". The record is from RNAcentral. Lineage: Eukaryota; Metazoa; Arthropoda; Insecta; Hymenoptera; Apidae.
UCAUUUUCUGACUAUUCGCUAUUACUGGAACAUUAGACUUGCAAACUGCCGCUUUUCAGUGCAUUUAGAGAUCAGUUCACUUCAAUAGAACACUUUCGAAUAUAGGAAUCAUUUUUCUAACGUGUAAAUAUCGAUUAAAUAAAAUAAAAAAAUAAAAAGACUGAGGUCAUGAAAAGGUGACGACAGCCAAGAACAGAAGACACAGCGAAAUCACAUUUACGGGACAAUGGCCAUCAAACAUUUCAAAACAUGUUAAAACAGUAACAAAAACUAAAAUUUUAUCAAACUCAAAUGCAAAAAUGCAUACUUUUUUAAAAGGAGGCAAGAGAGCAGGGAAAAUCAUCAAUGUCAUUCUCUUCUUCAUUACAAAAGGCAAUAUGCUUCUAUCAAAAUUUCAGAUGUUAGUGAUACCGGAGCACCUGAAUAAAGAAGUUAGGAGCAAAAGGCUAAAGUUAAUAGCGCAGAUUAGAUGUGGAAACAUAGAGAAAUGGAACAAAUAACAGUAAGACAAUAAUAAGAAAUACUUUGUAGAAAAAGGAAGGAAUGAACAAGGAGAAUGAAUGGACGAGAUAUUUGUAACAUUGCAAAAAGUAUUGUAAACCAACUCCUUUCUUGGCUUUGAUGCUGAAAUAAAAAAAUUAUAUUAUAUUCGAAUAAAACUGUUCAAAUAAAACAACUGAUCUUUCACCUUAACUGCAGAAACUCAUGUAUGAUUCAUUACAUACAGCAUUAAUUUCUAAAAUCCUAUAUAUUAACAGCAUUCUUUUUGAGAACAUGUUAAUGUUUUUUCUGACUUUUAUUAUGAAAGAUGUUUCACACAAAAGGUGGAGUUUGAGAUUGAAAAUUUAUUUAUAAUUAUUAAAUUGCAAAAAUAGUUUUACUCGCACUUAACAAAAAUUAUUUGAAAAGCUCAUUUGCUUGAAUACACAGAAAAAAAUAAUACUUGUAAUCAGUAAUUUUAAAAGCAUAUUUAUGUUAAAAGUAUGUUUCUAUGAUUCAUAUUUUAAACCUUAUAGGGAAAAAUGUAAAACAAUACUUUUUAUUUAUGUCCUUCCUAUCUUUCAUACACUAAAUUUGACAAAAUCACAGUUAAGAUAUUUUUCAAAUUAGUAGCAAUAAUUAGACUAUAAUCUUGAUAUAAUUAUAAGAAUCAUGGAACCAUUUAAGAUUUCAACUGAUUAUUAUAAUUCUUACAUACAGAAGCUAUUUUUAUGUUGUCCAUGUUGAUGAUGUCCUAAUUGCUUCUUAAGUAGUAUUUACAUAUCCUUCUGAAUCAUCAAAUAACCGACAAAUUUUACCAGUAAUUUACAAAAUAGCAUUUAAUUAUGUUGAUCACUAUUUUAUACGUUCUCAAGCAUAUGCAAAAGUUUCAAGCAACAUUUCUAUCUGUUUUAAAUAUUCUUCUGAUAAAACAAUGUAAGCGAUAUAUACACGCAUUAAAUUUAACAACCUAAGGUUAAAAUAUCUGGUAAAUUAAUAACUUUUCGAUACAAAUAGGC